GUGCAGCCAUCUUCCAGCUGUUUGCCAGCAAAAAUCAGACGCUGCUGGUCAGGCGAGAUGCCCUCCUUGGCUUGGACUUUGGCUUUGACAUUCUCACUAGAUGGGAAGGGCACAAUUCUGAACUCCAUUC
This is a long non-coding RNA of Leopardus geoffroyi (Geoffroy's cat), 130 nucleotides long. RefSeq lists it as uncharacterized. NCBI's taxonomy places the organism in Eukaryota, Metazoa, Chordata, Mammalia, Carnivora, Felidae. The transcript is spliced from 4 exons. The record is from RefSeq and is a predicted model, not a curated record.